GACGAACGCUGGCGGCGUGCUUAACACAUGCAAGUCGAACGAAGUGGCGAACGGGUGAGUAACGCGUAAUCAACCUGCUCUUCAGAGGGUGACAACAGUUGGAAACGACUGCUAAUACCGCAUAUUGAAGGUGGGGAUUGCGUCUAAUUAGCUAGUUGGAGGGGGAACGGCCCACCAAGGCGAUGAUCAGUAGCCGGUCUGAGAGGAUGAACGGCCAAAUUGGGACUGGGAAACGGCCCAGACUCCUACGGGAGGCAGCAGUGGGGAAUCUUCCGGAAUGGACGGAAGUCUGGCGGAGCAACGCCGGGUGAGUGAUGACGGCCUUCGGGUUGUAAAGCUCUGUUAAUCGGGGCGCGGUACCGGAAUAGAAAGCCACGGCUAACUACGUGCCAGCAGCCGCGGUAAUAC
RNAcentral lists this ribosomal RNA (408 nucleotides) under uncultured bacterium. Its description in RNAcentral is "partial 16S ribosomal RNA". It matches the Rfam family "Bacterial small subunit ribosomal RNA", at positions 28 to 526 of the family's 1533-position model. The record is from RNAcentral.